This 457-nucleotide ribosomal RNA is filed under the name uncultured bacterium. RNAcentral describes it as "bacterial SSU rRNA". It matches the Rfam family "Bacterial small subunit ribosomal RNA", at positions 340 to 786 of the family's 1533-position model. The record is from RNAcentral.
UACGGAAGGCAGCAGUGGGGGAAUAUUGCACAAUGGGGCGCAAGCCUGAUGCAGCCAUGCCGCGUGUAUGAAAAAGGCCUUCGGGUUGUAAAGUACUUUCAGUCGUGAGGAAGGUGUUAAGGUUAAUAACCUUAGCAAUUGACGUUAGCGACAGAAGAAGCACCGGCUAACUCCGUGCCAGCAGCCGCGGUAAUACGGAGGGUGCGAGCGUUAAUCGGAAUUACUGGGCGUAAAGGGCACGCAGGCGGUUAAUUAAGUUGGAUGUGAAAUCCCCGGGCUUAACCUGGGAAUGGCAUUCAAGACUGGUUAGCUAGAGUCUUGUAGAGGGGGUAGAAUUCCAUGUGUAAGCGGUGAAAUGCGUAGAGAUGUGGAGGAAUACCGGUGGCGAAGGCGGCCCCUGGACAAAGACUGACGCUCAUGUGCGAAAGCGUGGGGAGCAAAACAGGGAUUAGAUACC